ACCAUCUUGACUCUUUGGGGUGAGUCCAACACAUCUAUGCUGCAGCUGAUCAGAUUGUAGCCUGCUGAGAAGGACCUCUUGAUCUUCAGAGCACAUUUCCUGGCAGAAAAAAUAAGGCAAGCACAAGGUAAGGUUGCCUUCCACAAGCAAAAGUGAAAAGAACAAAAGCAAUAGCUACAUUUGUUAAGUGCUUAUUGGGUACCCUGUUCUAUUAAUAUUACACUGGUCAUCUGAUUUAAUCUUCACCAUAACCUUAUGAAGAACUAUUAAUAGCCCCAUUUUAUAGAGGAAUAAUUGAGGCAAUAAAUGUUUAAGAACAAUCCAAAGUCACAUGCUAGUAAAUAGUGGAGCCAGGACUUGACCCUGUGUAGUACAGCAAGAGUUCACAUUCUUUUUUUUUUUUUUAAGGAAAAUUUGUAUUUUAAUUAUUUUUAUGUACAGAAAACUCAACAGUGUACAUUUAACCCAGUUUAGUGGCAAGUUCUUUAGCCUUUGCCUUUUCGAGCUUGGCGAUACGAGCCACAGACUUGGGACCCAGGACAUUGCCGCCCCAGUGACAGCGGAUCUCAUCGUAUCUGUCGUUGUCAUUGGUCCUGAUAGCUUCCACCAGCUUAGCCAAAGCGCCUUCGUCUUCCGAGUUCACCUGUGUGAAGGCGGCAGUGGUGCAGGUCUUCCUGUGGACUAGACGGCCCAGUCUUGCCUUCCCCUUGAUAAUGCAGUAAGGAACCCCCAUUUUACGACACAGGGCAUGCAAGAAGACAGCCAGCUCGAUGGGAUCCACGUCGUGUGCAAUCACCACCAGCUGAGCUUUCUUGUUCUCCACCAAGGUGGUGACAGUGUUAACUCCUGCUCGAAGGACAGGUGGUCUCUUAGUGGAGACGUCCCCUUUGCCAGCAGCUUUCUUCUCGGCCCGGGCCAACAGCCUCUGCUUCUUCUCUUGCUUCGUCUCUGGCCUGUACUUGUGGACCAGCUUAAGCAGCUGAGUAGCUGUUUGGCAGUCCAGGGCCUGGGUGAACUGGUUAAUAGCAGGAGGUACUUUCAGCCACUUAUAGAGGAUGGCUCUCUGCCGCUGCAACCUGAUAGAGCGGGGCCAUUUCACAAAGCAGGCACUCAGGUCCGGGUGCAGUGGCUCACGCCUGUAAUCUCAGCACUUUGGGAGGCUGAGACCGGUGGAUCACCUAAGGUCAGGAGUUCCAGACCAGCCUGGCCAGACAUGGCGAAACCCCAUCUCUACUAAAAGUACAAACAUUAGCCGAGCAUGGUGGCGGGCGCCUGUAAUCCCAGCUACUUAGGAGGUUGAGGCAGGAGAAUCGCUUGAACCCAGGAGGCAGAGGUUGUAGUGAGCCGAGAUUGCACCACUGCACUCCAGCCUGUGUGAUAAGAAUGAGACUCCAUCUCAAAAAAACAAAAAACAAAAAACAAACAAACAAACAAAAACCUGGCACUCAGGUUUUAGCUUCUCUGUCAUUCCUGAGUCACUUCAGACUGCAAUACUUUGUGCCUUCCUGGUGUUGCUCACAUGAUCAAGAACUCAUUUUAACAAUAGCUGUCAUGUUUGAGUGCUUACAGUGUGCCAGUCAUUUGUCCAAGCAUUUUACUGCGUAAUCAUCAUCAAACCUUGCUAAGGAAGGUAUCAUCCUCAAUCUCUACAUGAGGAAACCAAAGCCUGGAGAAGUUAAGUAACUGGCUUAAUAUCAGAGCUUAGUGAAUGGUAGAAACAAGGUCCCAGCCCAAACUGUCUGGCUCCAGAGAUUGGUUGUCAUAUAACUUAUAGACCAAGCUGCAACACUUUUGAGAGUGACAGGAGAUAAUAUUAAUAAUUAUGCCAGGACAACAGAUAUAAACCAAGACUGAUCUAGGCACACCAGGACAUGAGAUUGUCCAACAUAUUCUGCCAUUUUAAAUGUACUCGUUGAAUGGUUACAAUCUUGUGAAAAGACCACAGGCUUUAUAGCCAACCAAAUUCAGGCUUAACUGAGCAGAGGCAUGAAAACACCCAGCACAGUGCCUGCUGCAUGGUAGGAACUCAGCAGAUACCUGUUUCCUUCUGUCAAGCUUCUAAUCCUUUGCUGGGCAACAUGGGCAAGUGUAACAUGUUGCCCUUAUUCUAGAAGCCCUUACAAUAGAGUUGAUAGAAAAAGGAACAUAAAUGAAAACUUUUAAAGAUUAUUCUAAGACUUUAGUAAUCCAAGACUGAGCGUAAGCGUUCAGAGAUGGUGAUUCCCUCAGCUUUUGAGUCUUUUGGUGAGUAGAAUUUGAACUGUCUUGAAGACUGAGUAGAAGGUAGGAAGGUUAGAGUUGGGUAUAGCUAAGAAAAGAAUGAGUUUAUUCAGAACUGUCUGUGUGACAUAAGUUUGUCAAACAUUUCAACUCCAUUCCAACUAUUGUAAUGUUCCAGAUACAAUGAAACAGGGACACGUUUUUAUUGUAUUUUAUUUUUUCAGUGUUGUGUACUCAUGAACCCUUAGAGAGCCCAGAUGAGGACUUGAUUCUCCCAGGCAUGGAAGGACAGACAAAGAAACUUCUUAGGAGCAUUGGUCUGUGGUUUUCAAGACCUUCUGUUAUUUAGGAAUUUUGAACAAAAUUCUGCGCCUCACAAUGUUUUUCACAGUAAGAGUAACAGCUGUGGGGUACUUAUUCCUCCCUGAUUUGUGUAAAAAGGAAGAGCAACUUCACACUUUUUCUCAAUCCCAAGUGUGGGAAAUUCUAAACAGGCUCAACACCACCCUCUAGUGUGCACAAAGGGCGGAUGUGGGAAUUGAAGCCUGUUCAUGACAAAGGCAGCUGGUGAAGACUGGAGAAGGUAGAAGAAGAGAAACAUCCUUGUAUCUGCAGGAAGCCCAUAAAUUAAUAAAUAUCCAAGUGCUCUAAGGUAAAGUACUUCUUUAAUAGAAAGAUCUAAGGGACCGCUUCCAAAAGAAAUAAUAUAAUGUUCUGUGAAAUAGUAAUCCCACGAGAUUCCGUCCACACCCACUCUUAAAGUGCCCCACGGUUAAAUAAGUUUGGAAUCCUCUGCAUAUCAUUACAGUCUUCUGCAAGCCCCUGUUAUAGGUUCAGUGUUUAGAAAAGCUGUUGGAAGUUAUGCAGUGAUGAAAAAUCCACUUCCA
Molecule: long non-coding RNA, 3107 nt
Organism: Macaca mulatta (Rhesus monkey)
Lineage: Eukaryota; Metazoa; Chordata; Mammalia; Primates; Cercopithecidae
Source: Ensembl